UGCUGCUGAACUCAGCAGGCUAAUCAUGCUUUACCUAUCCAUGCAGAGAAUGAAAUGUUCAUUAGAUGACUUUAACAACCAAAUGUGAUGAAUCUCAUCAACCAGGGAAGAUCAGCUUGUAUCACAGGAGAGGAAGCUAGAGGUCCACACUAUGCCCAGACAGACUUUGUCACAGGCUUUCACGUAUUUUUCUGCGGGCCUAUUCAUCUUGACAAAAUCAUUUACUGUCUUCUAAGUUGCCUACUCCUCCCCUUCA
Symphalangus syndactylus (siamang) is the source of this 256-nucleotide long non-coding RNA. RefSeq lists it as uncharacterized. Lineage: Eukaryota; Metazoa; Chordata; Mammalia; Primates; Hylobatidae. The record is from RefSeq and is a predicted model, not a curated record.